UACUAACUAACUAGGACCUCCCUGUUGUAUAGUACUAACUAACUAGGACCUCCCUGUUGUAUAGUACUAACUAACUAGGACCUCCCUGUUGUAUAGUACUAACUAACUAGGACCUCCCUGUUGUAUAGUACUAACUAACUAGGACCUCGUUAUGAAUCAAUGUGUUGUUUUAGUCUGAAACACUUCUCUUGUUACUGAAUACUAACGUUCCUCCUUUCCACAGUUAUUUGUAAUUUUAAUGUAUGGUUUAUUUGGGUAGGGACCGAUACAAACACAUCGUCUUCUCCUACACGGUUCCAGCAUCUACAGUUAAUGAGUAACCAGGCCAGCUUGGUUUGCUCAGCAGUGUGAAAAAGGUAUUGGAAACUACAUUUGUCAAGCAGACUGUGGUAAACCCAUACUGUUAUGUUGUGUAGACUACACUACUCAGCAGUGUGGAAAAGGUAUUGGAAACUACAUUUGUCAAGCAGACUGUGGUAAACCCAUACUGUUAUGUUGUGUAGACUACACUACUCAGCAGUGUGGAAAAGGUAUUGGAAACUACAUUUGUCAAGCAGACUGUGGUAAACCCAUACUGUUAUGUUGUGUAGACUACACUACUCAGCAGUAGUAUGAGACAUGAAACACAGUGGCUCUUCAUAGUGAAAUUAACUUGUAAGGUUUCUGACUCUAUAUUCCUUGGAAUAAUGCUUUUAUGUGAAGUGUAACGGGAAACGGACAUUCCCAGCUUUUGAAGAGUAAACGUUCAUGCCUCCUCGACGCUUUUAUAAGCUGUUAUUCCUCUAUCAGUUAAUUUUAAUGUUUUUAUUUAUUCAAUGGUUUUAUUUUUGCACUUCUGUUACUUUGCCUUUGAUUCCAUGUGAAGUGAAGAUCCAUUCCAAUGUUGAACAAACAUAAUUAUUACUGCAAGUGUUUUAAAAUCUAUUUAGAUGCGUACAUGUAUAUGAUCUGUUAUCUGUGCAAUAAAGAGAUGUUAUACAGCA
Molecule: long non-coding RNA, 983 nt
Organism: Oncorhynchus keta (chum salmon)
Lineage: Eukaryota; Metazoa; Chordata; Actinopteri; Salmoniformes; Salmonidae
Exons: 2
Source: RefSeq, a predicted model, not a curated record